RNAcentral lists this unclassified non-coding RNA (342 nucleotides) under soil metagenome. RNAcentral describes it as "partial contains 5.8S ribosomal RNA, internal transcribed spacer 2, and large subunit ribosomal RNA". The stretch from base 1 to 119 matches the Rfam family "5.8S ribosomal RNA", at positions 35 to 154 of the family's 154-position model. The record is from RNAcentral.
GAUGAAGACGUAGUGAAAUGCGAUAAGUAAUGUGAAUUGCAGAAUUCAGUGAAUCAUCGAAUCUUUGAACGCACAUUGCGCCCGCCAGCAUUCUGGCGGGCAUGCCUGUUCGAGCGUCAUUUCAACCCUCGAGCCCCCCCGGGGGCCUCGGUGUUGGGGGACGGCACACCAGCCGCCCCCGAAAUGCAGUGGCGACCCCGCCGCAGCCUCCCCAGCGUAGUAGCACACACCUCGCACCGGAGCGCGGAGGCGGUCACGCCGUAAAACGCCCAACUUUCUUAGAGUUGACCUCGGAUCAGGUAGGAAUACCCGCUGAACUUAAGCAUAUCAAUAAGCGGAGGA